This 792-nucleotide ribosomal RNA is filed under the name uncultured bacterium. RNAcentral's name for it is "bacterial SSU rRNA". It matches the Rfam family "Bacterial small subunit ribosomal RNA", at positions 8 to 796 of the family's 1533-position model. The record is from RNAcentral.
AGAGUUUGAUCCUGGCUCAGGAUGAACGCUAGCGGCAGGCCUAAUACAUGCAAGUCGGGCGGCAAGGGAAGUAGCAAUACGACCCCUAGAGCGGCGCACGGGUGCGUAACGCGUAUGCAACCUACCCUUCACCGGGGGAUAGCCCGGGGAAACCCGGAUUAAUACCCCAUAGAAUAACAUGAUGGCAUCAUUGAGUUAUUAAAGAUUUAUCGGUGAAGGAUGGGCAUGCGUAGGAUUAGCUAGUUGGCGGGGUAACGGCCCACCAAGACGAUGAUCCUUAGGGGUUCUGAGAGGAAGGUCCCCCACACUGGCACUGAGAUACGGGCCAGACUCCUACGGGAGGCAGCAGUAGGGAAUAUUGGGCAAUGGGCGGGAGCCUGACCCAGCCAUGCCGCGUGCAGGAAGAAGGCGUUAUGCGUUGUAAACUGCUUUUAUACGGGAAGAAAAGGCCCAUGCGUGGGAUAUUGCCGGUACCGUAUGAAUAAGCACCGGCUAACUCCGUGCCAGCAGCCGCGGUAAUACGGAGGGUGCAAGCGUUGUCCGGAUUUAUUGGGUUUAAAGGGUGCGUAGGCGGCCCGUUAAGUCAGCGGUGAAAGUCUGUGGCUCAACCAUAGAAGCGCCGUUGAUACUGAUGGGCUUGAGUGCCGUAUGGGUACAUGGAAUUGAUGGUGUAGCGGUGAAAUGCAUAGAUACCAUCAGGAACACCGAUAGCGUAGGCAUUGUACUGUGCGGCAACUGACGCUGAGGCACGAAAGCAUGGGUAGCGAACAGGAUUAGAUACCCUGGUAGUCG